UUUAAAAAAAUUAUUAUUGAAUUAGUCAAAUAUUACAUAAUUUGAUCUAAAAUUUUUAAUAUACCAUUAUCGAAUAAAAGAAAUUAUUACUUAAAGUUUGAACACCCGUCAAGGUUAUUAGGCUCUCCUUAAAUGUUUAGUAAUUAAGAUUAAAUGGAGCAAAAGGACAUUGAGAGAAGUGAAAAGAGAGAAAAGACAGAGGGAAGAGUGGGUCCCACUAUAGCUUUAGGAAGUGUACGGCAUCACGCUUCCCUCUUUCCGUGAAUUUAUGUUCACUUGUCUCUCUCUUUCUCUUUCUCUUUCUGGAAACAGGCCCCCUCUCUUUUUUCUUUCUUGAGCCCCGUACUCUUCUUUUUUUUUUGGUUUUAUUUUAUUCAUUUUAUGUUUACUUUAAUUGUCAAAUAUUUAUUCUUCUUUUUACUUUUUCAUUUCUCUUUUCAAAUAAAAGUUAUUAAUAUGGAUUUAUAGUCGUUCGUUCACGUGCUAGUUUUGAUAACGAUGGACUGAAUUGUUAUCGCGGAAUAAAAAUAGUUGAAUAUGCGUGAUAAAGGAUUUACUUUUUAUAAUUCUUUAAUUUAAUUAAAAGCUUAUAAGUUUAAGCAGAGGCCUCAAAAUCUGUUUAAGUUAAAAUAUUUUUAAAAAUUAUUUUUUCCGAAUCAAACUAAAAGGUAAAGCGUGAAUUUAGGGGUGGCAAAUGACCGGGUUGGAUCGAACUUGGACUGGUCAAAAUGAGUUAGAUAAUAAAUGGGUCAUUGUCCAACCCAAUCCAAAGUAUAUUUGGGCUAAGAUGAGUUGGGUCAAAAUUGGCUAAAGAAUUGGUCAUAACUCAACCCGCCCAAUUUGACCCAUGUUUUAGAACCAUACUAAUCUUGCAUAAAUAAAAUAUUUUACCUUAAAAUAUGUAAGUGAACAAAUAUUUUAUGGAUAGAGGGAUGGGGGUGAGCGGUGGGGGUGAGGGUGG
This 961-nucleotide long non-coding RNA is filed under the name Nicotiana benthamiana. Its description in RNAcentral is "long non-coding RNA (NBEN_LNC019791)". The record is from RNAcentral. Lineage: Eukaryota; Viridiplantae; Streptophyta; Magnoliopsida; Solanales; Solanaceae.